This 63-nucleotide transfer RNA is filed under the name Brachionus rubens. RNAcentral's name for it is "tRNA-Trp". It matches the Rfam family "tRNA". Rfam says of the family: Transfer RNA (tRNA) molecules are approximately 80 nucleotides in length. RNAcentral also lists the same sequence under 1 other name. The record is from RNAcentral. Lineage: Eukaryota; Metazoa; Rotifera; Eurotatoria; Ploima; Brachionidae.
AAAGAAUUAGUUUAUUAAAAACGUUAGUCUUCAAAACUAAAGAUAUUUUAUGGAUAUUCUUUG